AGCAUGUGGUUUAAUUCGAAAGCAACGCGAAGAACCCUUUACCAGGUCUUGACAUCCCGAUGCUAUUUCUAGAGAUAGAAAGUUACUUCGGUACAUCGGUGACAGGUGGUGCAUGGUUGUCGUCAGCUCGUGUCGUGAGAUGUUGGGUUAAGUCCCGCAACGAGCGCAACCCCUAUUGUUAGUUGCCAUCAUUCAGUUGGGCACUCUAGCGAGACUGCCGGUAAUAAACCGGAGGAAGUGGGGAUGACGUCAAAUCAUCAUGCCCCUUAUGACCUGGGCUACACACGUGCUACAAUGGUUGGUACAACGAGUUGCGAGUCGGUGACGGCGAGCUAAUCUCUUAAAGCCAAUCUCAGUUCGGAUUGUAGGCUGCAACUCGCCUACAUGAAGUCGGAAUCGCUAGUAAUCGCGGAUCAGCACGCCGCGGUGAAUACGUUCCCGGGCCUU
RNAcentral lists this ribosomal RNA (447 nucleotides) under uncultured Streptococcus sp. RNAcentral describes it as "bacterial SSU rRNA". It matches the Rfam family "Bacterial small subunit ribosomal RNA", at positions 936 to 1382 of the family's 1533-position model. Lineage: Bacteria; Bacillati; Bacillota; Bacilli; Lactobacillales; Streptococcaceae. The record is from RNAcentral.